This 68-nucleotide unclassified non-coding RNA is filed under the name Drosophila melanogaster (fruit fly). RNAcentral describes it as "RNA (68-MER) from Drosophila melanogaster (PDB 8SCH, chain A)". The record is from RNAcentral. Lineage: Eukaryota; Metazoa; Arthropoda; Insecta; Diptera; Drosophilidae.
GAGAAUCCAGCUCUGGAAGCGUUUAUAUAACAUGAAAUAUAUAUACGCAUUCCGAUCAAAGCUGGGUU